GCACGCACACUCUGACCAUUUCAUUUCACUGGAAAGUUGAAAGAAAGCAACACGCCAUCUGCACCCGUGUGUGCUCCGUGGGCUGGAACAGCGAAGUUCUCGGGCAGAGCCUUCCUCCCCGGAGCCGGCGAUGCAGCCGCUCUGAUACCUGCUCAGCUCCACGCGGCAUCCGAAGGUCUGUCCGCAGCGAAACAGUUGCGUCUCCAUCUGGCUGCCAACCCACCCAAGCUUUCUUCUCCUCCACCGCCGCCGCCACCUUCCUCCCCCCCUCCUUCCCCUCCUUUCCAUCUUCCCUCUCCACCCCCGCCCCCAAUCUCCUCCUCUUUUUCUCACUAAAAACGGUUGCUGCUGCUGAAGCCGAGCGUCACUUGGGCUCCCGCCGCAGACAUGGCGACAUUGACAGUGGUCCAGCCGCUCACUCUGGACAGAGAUGUUGCCAGAGCCAUUGAAUUACUGGAAAAACUACAGGAAUCUGGAGAAGUCCCAGUGCACAAGCUACAAUCCCUUAAGAAAGUGCUUCAGAGUGAGUUCUGUACUGCUAUUCGAGAGGUGUAUCAAUAUAUGCAUGAAACGAUAACUGUUAAUGGCUGUCCCGAAUUCCGUGCCAGGGCCACAGCAAAGGUAUUCUCGUGUGUACACUGUAAGAGAAUUUAGACAUCAGUGGCAGCCCAGAGUCUAGAACCAGUACUACUUCCCAGGCAACAGUCGCAGCUUUUGCUGCUAGUGAAGGCCACUCGCACCCUCGGGUAGUCGAACUGCCAAAGACUGAUGAAGGCCUUGGUUUUAACGUGAUGGGAGGAAAGGAGCAAAAUUCUCCCAUUUAUAUCUCUCGCAUCAUUCCUGGAGGGGUGGCCGAAAGACACGGAGGCCUCAAAAGAGGAGACCAGCUGCUAUCAGUGAAUGGAGUGAGUGUAGAAGGCGAACACCAUGAGAAAGCUGUGGAACUCCUCAAGGCUGCUAAGGACAGCGUCAAACUGGUGGUGCGGUACACCCCGAAAGUCCUGGAAGAAAUGGAGGCUCGCUUUGAGAAGCUACGGACAGCCCGGCGUCGGCAGCAGCAGCAACUGCUAAUUCAGCAGCAGCAACAGCAGCAGCAGCAACAAGCGCAGCAAAACCACAUGUCAUAGGUCCUUGAAGUAAAGCUACUUGAUCAAACAUCCGAUAGUCACAAAUUUGAAACCGUGCUUCUGAAUCCCAGCACAUAGUAAAAAGAAAAGACAACACUGAUAAUUAUACCUGUCAAGAAGCUGUGAACGCGUGGUGUGUAAAUUCUUUACCAAGGCAACUCGACACCUUCUUUAUCUGGGCUGGACCGGGCUGCUCGCUGCUCUUCACACACACAGACCUUCCAUUCACUGCAGUGGGAAUUCUGUGUGCCAGUGGAGAGGUUUUCCAGUCUGCAGACUGAAACAGUGUAAGAAUAAAGUCCAUGACUUUCAGAUUAAUCACCAGGGCCAGGAUUAAGUAAACCUUGGGUCUAUAGCUUUUCCAGAGAUGAACAAAACCCUCAUUAGGCUAUAGUUCAAACUGCAUCAGUUCAAUAUUGUCGCCACUUAAAACCUACACAUUGCUCCUCACCCUGACCUGUUUCAUGUCCAUACUGCUGAGCUGUCAGAAUUAGAAAUUGAGUUAAUUGCAAAGUCAAUAUCUUUCCCCCACUUGAAAACAAGUUAUUAUACUAUAUUUAUACUCUCUUCUGGUUCCUGAAGCAAUUGGCUUUUUGUUUUGUUUCCUUGAAUUUUAUUAUGCAUUAAUAGAGUAGGCCGAUAUAGCUCAACUUUUAGUUUGCUAGAAGCAAGGAUAGAGAAAUCAAGUACUGUAUUUUUUUUUAAUUUAAGCAUUGCUUGUAUCUAUUAUUAAUUCUAACAGAAUAUAAUGUAUAUUUAUUCCACAAAA
RNA transcript from Myotis davidii, 1896 nucleotides. It is a transcript of the gene named lin-7 homolog A (C. elegans), with no coding region annotated. The record is from RefSeq and is a predicted model, not a curated record. NCBI's taxonomy places the organism in Eukaryota, Metazoa, Chordata, Mammalia, Chiroptera, Vespertilionidae. The transcript is spliced from 7 exons.